UUUCCGUAGGUGAACCUGCGGAAGGAUCAUUAAUGAGGGCGUAUGGGCUAAAAACCCAAACGAACCCCCAAUCCUUUGCUUACUGUCCCUCUUGUGGUUUGCCUGGGCGUGGCUAAAUCGUAACCUUUUUAGGUUUCGAACAGCUUUUUAUCGCCCAGAAGAUUACCAAAAUUAAAACAUUCUAGUAAUGAUGUGUCUGAGUGAAAUAUAAAGAAGCAAAACUUUCAACAACGGAUCUCUUGGUUCCGGCAUCGAUGAAGAACGCAGCGAAAUGCGAUAAGUAAUGUGGACCGCAGUACUCAGCGACUCAUCGAAUCUUUGAACGCAUAUUGCGCCCCUUGGUAUCCCCUAUGGGCACACCUGACCGAGCGUCAUAGUGGUCAAUCAGGAAACAGCUAGCACAACUUGGUUAUGGGUUUAAUUUACUCUAUGUGGACGCCUCAAAGUUAUUGGCGGUACAAUUAGGUGUUCCAGUGUAGUUAAACACUAGAGUCACUGUAGAAAUGCUUAUUUGUACCUAUUUCAAAACUUUUUUAGCAUCUACCAAAGUUUCUGCUGGCAGAAACUUAGUGGAUGUUCGCUAAAAUGACCGCGGAUCAGGUGAGGAUACCCGCUGAAUUUAA
Molecule: unclassified non-coding RNA, 623 nt
Filed under: Peltigera leucophlebia
Lineage: Eukaryota; Fungi; Ascomycota; Lecanoromycetes; Peltigerales; Peltigeraceae
Description: sequence contains ITS1, 5.8S rRNA gene and ITS2
Rfam family: 5.8S ribosomal RNA (bases 220-374)
Source: RNAcentral